Molecule: long non-coding RNA, 561 nt
Filed under: Homo sapiens (human)
Lineage: Eukaryota; Metazoa; Chordata; Mammalia; Primates; Hominidae
Description: HSALNT0356676
Source: RNAcentral
AUUCAGGCCUCCGCCAGCUUCUAGGCCCUGGGGAUGGUCUUUCACCUCCCUCUUUCUGAUCUCUUUUUCAUGCUCCUCCUUGCUCCAAAGAAAAGCCGGAUGGCAAAAGAGCCCAGAACCUAUUGGAACUGACAAAAUCAAGUCACGGCGCCUACAAAGAUGAGGGGCAGAUUCUGGCUGCCUUUUAAUUUCGUCCUUCACCUGAUAUCUGUGCCAGAGAAUGUCUUCCAGGAGUUCUGCUACAGAGAAGAGAGUAACCCCCAUCCAUCAUGGCCAAAGCACCCAGUCAGGCUCCGCUCUGGAUCCAGCCCGACAAAUGCAACCCUUGAAUAGGGUUUGUGCAAGCAAACUGGAUGACGACCGAAGAAACCCUGUCGCUUCUGAGAAGACACCCAAUCCAAGAAUGCUGGAGUGCAGUGGCGCAAUCACAGCUCAAUGCAGCCUUGAACUCCUGGACUCAAGCAAUUCUUCUGCCUCAACCUGCCAAGUAGUUGGGACUACACAUGUGCCAUCACACUCAGCUUUUGUCUGUGAUCCAUGUGGAAACCAUUCUUCUGUGUA